CUGAAAAAGGGCAAACCCAUCGCAAGGUGGGGGCGCAAAGCUGCGGGCCCUAGGAAUGGGUAGCCGGGCUGCCAGGG
This is a non-coding RNA of Acetothermia bacterium 64_32, 77 nucleotides long. NCBI's taxonomy places the organism in Bacteria, Candidatus Bipolaricaulota. The record is from Rfam.